RNAcentral lists this long non-coding RNA (3020 nucleotides) under Callithrix jacchus (white-tufted-ear marmoset). Its description in RNAcentral is "lncRNA (ENSCJAG00000069807.1)". Lineage: Eukaryota; Metazoa; Chordata; Mammalia; Primates; Cebidae. The record is from RNAcentral.
CCAGGUUUUGUGUUGUUUUCUGGCUGGAGGUCACACAGAGAAUUACUACCAGACUCAGAACUGAAUGGAACAGAAUCUGAGAGGGUGUGACUCUGAUGCUGAACUCCUCUUCAUGCUAAGGGCUCCCUGGUGCCCACAUGGCCCUUCUGUAGCCACUCUGUUUACUACUAUGUUCCUGACUAAGUCUGGAUACAUCUUCAGAGCAGGAUGAUACCAUAAUCAUCUUCAUAUAUGCCACGUAAGCUACUAAGGUUCCUUGCAUAUAGUAGGUUUCAUGAUUCCAAGGUUCCAUGAUUCCUUGUGGUAUUCUGUGAAUUCUGUGUACCUGAUUCUCCCUCCACCCACCUCAUAACUGAACAAUGAGAUGUUAUGAGAAUUCCAAAAUAUGAUCAUAUCCAUUGACCUGACAACAUCCAGCGGCUUCCAAAUUUAUCACUUACCUGUAUGACACUGCAUGGCCUCACUUUAAACUUUUGUCUGAUUUUUAGCAGGUGGCUCUGGGACUCUGUUUCCCUGGUUUCUCUGAGCUCCUCCAGCACCCAGAAACCUCAGAAGACCCUGUCUGAGAUCUAGGACCCAACGCCUCCUUUCAGAUACUAGUGAUGAUGCCAGUGUCCCUGCUAGAGAGAGAUGUGGAUGCAUUUAAUUAUCUCGUUACGCAAGCUCUUCUCCCUAAUAUCUGAAGGGCUCCCUUUCUGUCAACUGAGCUGCUGGCCAGAAACCAAUGUGGGUAACAUGCCUGUGAAAUGUGCUGCCUCAGUUGUUGGUGGAAGGACUUCAUGAGUCAGAAUGGAAGGCUUUCCUAGGACCAGCCAACAAACUGCAUUUCCAGGUAGGUUUUCAGGAUGCAAUUUCAUAGGGAGUAAGAAUGGCCUCAGGUCUAUGAGGCUAUAACAUUGAGUAAUUUCUGCAUUUCCAAAGGUGGUGAGAAAUUUCUAUCCUGGAACUUAAUUUUCUUCCCCUGGAGUCUGUUCCUAGCCAAUUGCUGUAAAAGGUGCUGCCAUCACCCAGUCACUUGAGCCAACAGCCUCCCAGUCAACCAUGGUUCUCUUCUUUUCAUGACGCCUCUCCCUAUCCUAUCCAUCAGCAAGUACCCUCGGUCCUACCUCUGAAUUCGACCUUCAGUCUCCCUACCUCCGUCCACAUCCAUCCAUUUGCAUGACCACCACCACCGUGUCUCAUUUGGCCUACUGCCCCCUAGUGGUUUCCCGCCUCCACUGCAUGCCUUUUGAUCAUUCAUUCUGUAAAUGUCAAAGAAAACAGAUCACAUCAUACUGCUGCUGAAAACUCCUGGACACUACACCUGCACCUGUAGUAACCCACGAGGCCCUGCCUGACGUGGUCUCAGUGUAUCUCUGCAGCUGCAUCUUGCCCCUCCAUACCUCACUCGACCCCAGCCACAUUGAUCUUCAGGUUUCUAAGCAUCCCGCAUAUUUCUGUUUUGCAAAUGCUGCUCUCUUGCCUAGCUCUUUCAUCUCCUCUCCUUUAAAUGCCCAGCUUGUUUUUGUCCCGCAAGUCUCAGCUCAUUCCCCACUUUCUCAGAGGUGUCUUCUGUGAGUGUUCUAGCUAAAGUAGACCCCGCUGUCAAUCACCAUCUCAGCCCUUUGUUUCUUUCUUUCACAACCCGUUAUCACGAGUUGAAAUUAUUCUGCAUAUCUGACAUUGUUUUUGUUUGACCUUCUUCUGUAGAAUAAUAGGGAUUAUACUUGUAUUGUUCACCAUUGUAUUUCCAGGGUGCAGCUUAGUACCUGCCCUAUGGUAGAUACUUAGCAGAUACUGGUUAUGACUAACUGACUGAUACAUGAAUGAAUGCAUGCAUGCAUGGAUGAGUUCACUCCUUCGCAUAACUGGAUGGCUGGUUAAUUAUGUCAGGCUGUUUGGAAUUUACUUCCUGAAGAAACUGGAAAAAAAGAAGCCCACCUCUUGAUUCUACACGCAUCACCCUCACACCAGAUUGCUGAAUGCAUUUUAAAAAAAGAAAGAAAAGCAGAAUUCAUUUUGCAGAGCUUGUUUGCUUUGUAUGCCUGGUCCUCCUAUGACCUCGUCUUGCUCCUGGAAAGGGUGGUUCCCUUGCAGUGGCUCCAUCAAUCCCUGGUCCCUAGACCCCCACUGUUGAAACCACAGGAAAGGCAAGCACAACAUCACCUUUAAUUAGCAAGAGAGGCGUCUGCCUGAUACACACAGUGCCUUGGAAACAAGAGACAGAAAAAUGUAAGGCAGGAUCAGCUUCGUGGAAAGAACUAGAAAAUGAAAAAGAAUAAUUAUCCUGUUUUAACAUAAUGUUGUUAAUCUGUAUUACCCAUUAUUAUCGAGAGCGUCUUGCCUAUUGAAUAUGCGAGCUGUGGCGCCGCUCUUUGCUCCAUCAGUGUAGCUAACGGAAGGGACUGGCUCCUCAUCCAUCAUAAUAAUUAGUUUGUCAUAAUUUUCUGCCCUUUUUGGCUCUGCAGUAAAAAGAUAGAAGAGGCAUUUAAAGUUAUUCAGGAAUUGUUCCCCAAAUUUCCUCCCUGUUCUUUAUGGGAACAGAUAGCUAUAUUUCUGCCCUAUUUAUUUUAUGUUUGGUCUGUGAUAAUGAAGUAUAUUUCAUCUGGCAGUAUAUAGCUUUAAUUUUCAUGUUCUACUUGGAAACACCUCGCUGUUUCAUUUCAUUUCAGUUCUACACUAUAUAAAGAGAGCUCAUGCUUCUUUCUGAACUCACCCAUCACCCACCAGAGUUAAUUCUAGUUUCAGGACCAACAUUACAACUUCAUGAGCUGACUGCAUAAUAACACACAGUGGAUCUCCAGUCCAUUAGUGUUGACAGAGUGUUUUCCUUGUUUUAUCCCUUAAUUCUCACAACAGCCCUGGGAGGUAGGCAAGGCAGGGGUUAUCCACAUGCCCAUUUGACAGACUGAGGAGCAGAAAGAUGAGUUGACUUGCCCAGGGCCAUGCUCCUUCAGCAAAAAGGUGCUGGGACUUGAUUCCUGGUUUCCCAAUUGUACAUUUAGGCCCUUUCUGUAACUCCAGCAACAUCCUGCUUCUAC